CCCUCCUACAAAGGUGUGUCUGUGGUCUCCUGUCUUUGGACACGUAAGACUUGGAGGCAAAGAAAUGUGGAUUUGGAGGAGUCUGUGGCCAGCUUCCUCCCUGCAGGCCCAAGAUCAACCAUCCAACAUAG
Small nucleolar RNA from Bos indicus x Bos taurus (hybrid cattle), 131 nucleotides. The record is from Ensembl. Lineage: Eukaryota; Metazoa; Chordata; Mammalia; Artiodactyla; Bovidae.